Molecule: ribosomal RNA, 389 nt
Filed under: Embryophyta sp.
Lineage: Eukaryota; Viridiplantae; Streptophyta
Description: partial small subunit ribosomal RNA
Rfam family: Eukaryotic small subunit ribosomal RNA
Source: RNAcentral
AUUCCAGCUCCAAUAGCAUAUAUUUAAGUUGUUGCAGUUAAAAAGCUCAUAGUUGGAUCUUGGGUCGUAAGGGUCGGUCCGCCUACUCGGUGUGCACCUGCCCUUCCGUCCCUUUUGUCGGCGGCGUGCUCCUGGCCUUAAUUGGCUGGGUCGCGGUUCCGGCGCUGUUACUUUGAAAAAAUUAGAGUGCUCAAAGAAAGCUUAUGCUCUGAAUACAUUGGCAUGGAAUAACGUGAUAGGAGUCUGGUCAUAUUGUGUUUGCCUUCGGGAUCGGAGUAAUGAUUAAUAGGGACUGUCAGGGGCAUUCGUAUUUCAUUGUCAGAGGUGAAAUUCUUGGAUUUAUGAAAGACGAACCACUGCGAAAGCAUUUGCCAAGGAUGUUUUCAUUA